GACCCCGUCGUUCAGCGGUUAGGACACCGGGUUUUCAUCCCGGCAACGGGGGUUCGAUUCCCCUCGGGGUCACCA
This 75-nucleotide transfer RNA is filed under the name bacterium. RNAcentral's name for it is "tRNA-Glu". It matches the Rfam family "tRNA". Rfam says of the family: Transfer RNA (tRNA) molecules are approximately 80 nucleotides in length. Their secondary structure includes four short double-helical elements and three loops (D, anti-codon, and T loops). The record is from RNAcentral. RNAcentral also lists the same sequence under 1 other name.